CCCUUAGAUGUUCUGGGCUGCACGCGCGCUACACUGAUGCAUCCAACAAGUUUUUUCCUUGUUCGAGAGGACUAGGUAAUCUUUUGAGAAUGCAUCGUGAUGGGGAUAGAUUAUUGCAAUUAUUAAUCUUGAACGAGGAAUUCCUAGUAAACGCAAGUCAUCAGCUUGCAUUGAUUACGUCCCUGCCCUUUGUACACACCGCCCGUCGCACCUACUGAUUGAAUGACUCGGUGAAAAAUCGGGACUGCGAGAACAAUCGAUUAAUUUCGAAUGUACUUGUGGGAACUUUUUUUAACCUCGCCAUUUAGAAGAAGGUGAAGUCGUAACA
RNAcentral lists this ribosomal RNA (328 nucleotides) under uncultured eukaryote. Its description in RNAcentral is "partial 18S ribosomal RNA". It matches the Rfam family "Eukaryotic small subunit ribosomal RNA", at positions 1470 to 1796 of the family's 1831-position model. The record is from RNAcentral.